This 353-nucleotide ribosomal RNA is filed under the name Hydrochus squamifer. RNAcentral describes it as "partial 12S ribosomal RNA". Lineage: Eukaryota; Metazoa; Arthropoda; Insecta; Coleoptera; Hydrochidae. The record is from RNAcentral.
UCUUAAAUGUAAAUUUAAAGUAAAAUUAGUAUUUGAUACGUUCUUGAAACUUAAAGAUUUUGGCGGUAUUCUAGUCUUUUCAGAGGAACCUGUCCUGUAAUUGAUAGUCCACGAUUAAGUCAACCUUUUUUAAAUAGUUUGUAUAUCGUCGUGGUUGAAUAUUUUAUUAGAAUUUUAAUGUUCAAGAUUUACAAUAAUAAAUUAAUUCAGAUCAAGGUGCAACUUAUAGAAAGGUAUGAGAUGGGUUACAAUAAAUUUAUUUAUAUGGAUUAGAAUUUGGAAUAUAACUAUGAAGGUGGAUUUGAAAGUAAUUUAGUCAAUUUAGUCUAUUUGAUUUUAGCUCUAGAAUAUGC